CAAGUCGAGCGAGGCGGGUAGCAAUACCCAGUCGAGCGGCGAACGGGUGAGUAACGCGUGGAUGACCUACCUUGGGGUGGGGGAUAACUCGGGGAAACUCGAGCUAAUACCGCAUACGAUCGAGAGAUCAAAGGGGCGCAAGUCCCGCCAUGAGAGGGGUCCGCGUACGAUUAGCUAGUUGGUAGGGUAAUGGCCUACCAAGGCGACGAUCGUUAGCCGGCCUGAGAGGGUGAUCGGCCACACUGGAACUGAGACACGGUCCAGACUCCUACGGGAGGCAGCAGUGGGGAAUUUUGCGCAAUGGGGGAAACCCUGACGCAGCAACGCCGCGUGGAGGAUGAAGGUCUUUGGAUUGUAAACUCCUGUCAGCAGGGAAAAAGGCCUCUGGCCACACCAGAGGAUUGAUUGUACCUGCAGAGGAAGCCCCGGCUAACUCUGUGCCAGCAGCCGCGGUAAUACAGAGGGGGCAAGCGUUAUUCGGAAUUAUUGGGCGUAAAGGGCGCGUAGGCGGUCUGACAAGUGGAAGGUGAAAUCCCCGCGCUUAACGUGGGAACUGCCUUCCAAACUGUUUGACUUGAGUCCGGGAGAGGUGAGUGGAAUUCCCAGUGUAGCGGUGAAAUGCGUAGAUAUUGGGAGGAACACCAGUGGCGGAGGCGGCUCACUGGACCGGAACUGACGCUGAGGCGCGAAAGCGUGGGGAGCAAACAGGAUUAGAUACCCUGGUAGUCCACGCCGUAAACGAUGAGUGCUGGGUGUUAAGGGGGUAUCGACCCCUCCUGUGCCGAAGUCAACACAUUAAGCACUCCGCCUGGGGGA
Molecule: ribosomal RNA, 816 nt
Filed under: uncultured Acidobacteriota bacterium
Lineage: Bacteria; Pseudomonadati; Acidobacteriota
Description: bacterial SSU rRNA
Rfam family: Bacterial small subunit ribosomal RNA
Source: RNAcentral